ACAAGUUGCUGGUCAGCUAAUAGAACAGACAGAAUAGAUUCCAUUCUACUAACUUAUCAACCAACACGUCUCAGAUCAGAUACUACAAUAGUAUCGUAUCUCAUCUUAUGUUUUGCCUUGUUAGCUGUGUGUAGUUAACGACUGCAGAGGCACAGAUGUUGUUUUUUGUCUGAGUGAGAAAAAACGGAGAUUCUGUGUGAGCGGGUUCAAGCUAACCGCUAAAGCUAACCGCUAAAGCUAACGGCUAAGCUGCGGCCUGCGAGCCUCGUCGCGGACUGAGUGGACCUUGAACUGGACAGACGGAGGUGCUUCUGGAUGAGGAGUUACCUGGACGAGGAGUUACCUGGAUGAGGAGUUACCUGGAUGAGGAGUUACCUGUCGCUCCUCUGACCGUUUCAUUUCCUGAGACAUUGGAUUAUUCGUCGGCUGGCUGCUGACUUUUCAGACACAGAGCUGUGAACGCCACGACGUGGAUUCUGCUAACGGCUAACUGUGAGUUUGCUGACCGGAGAUCAACGCCGCUGCGGGGAUUUCGUGGGCUGUUUCCUGUGAUCAUCGUGGGUUUUCUACUCUGCACCUGGACUACGGCGACCAGCUGGAGAUCUACACACAGCUGCUCAACAGAAUACAUCACCACAUCCUUAACUUCAUGCUGAGGUCAAACAUUAAACAGAACACGAGGUUUUCUGCCCCAAAGAGCCAAAACUACAGCAGAAGUUUGUCAAAUACUGAGCUCCAGUUCAUGUCUAGAAGCUGUGCUCUAUAGAAGAUGUUCCAUGAAAACAUCACAACACUGUCAUAGAAAGAAGAGAGAACCAGCACAGGAAGAAACAUCAUCUCUUGGAUGACUUUAUUUCAAAUGUGAGUGAAAAAUCCUCAACAUGUUUCCAGUUUUCUGAUGGUUUCUUCCAGUUCUAGGAAUGUACCAAACAGUUUAGUCCUGAAUGAACUCUUCUUGCUUCAUUCCUCUGAGGUGCUAUCAGAGAGUCAUUUUACUCUCCCUCCACUGGAACAUGCAAACAAGAAUAAAUACAGUUAUCACAGCAGUAGAAAAAUAUCACUUCAGCCUAUUCACAACACUGACAGUUAUAGUCUCUGUUUUGUCACAAUAAAAAAAUAAUUUUAAGACGAUCAUUACAUGGUAGCAAACAGAAAUAUGAGCUCCACUAACUAAUAAUGUCAAACAUAGGUGGUGAAGUUUUAGAAAACACUGCUGGCUGCUCUUUGCCUCCAGAUAAAGUGUCGUCUGAUUGAUUGUAAAAAGCAAAGAGAAUCUAAUGAGGUAAAAAUCAAAGCUUGUUUCAACUAAAGUCUCUCCAUCACACACUACUGAUGACCAGAAUGAACUCCAUGUUUUCAUCUGAUCAUGAGGAGAAAAGGCUUUUUAAUGACAACAUCCAACAGUUCCUCCCUGAUGAUCACAUGACCUCCUGACUGCUUCACCAGAUUUCAAACUGCUUGUGCUUCUUAAAGGGUCUUCUGUCCACGAUGUCGUUGCUGAAGAGUCUGAAAAACACCAAAGCAGAGAGCAGACGUCAUCAUUCAGGAAGAACAGCAUCAGUUCAGCUCAUCUAUCCACUGGUUUCUCUGUGAGCCUCAGAUGAAUGUUUGCUCACCUCACAGUGUGGAUGGAGGAGUGGAUGGAGAUCAGCUGGAGGAGCACAUCUGUGGAAGCAUCUGUGAUCUUAUUGUGGCUCAGACUGCAACACAAACACACAACUCAUUUAUCCCUCCAUCUGAUAACAUGUUGACAGAAGGUCAGAGAAGCUCAUCAGUCAAUCAACAGGAUCAAACAUAAAAGCAGAGUCAGUUUUUCUGGGACAACUUCCUGUAAACAACCUCAUUUUCCUCUACAAUAAGUUUGUUUCCAUCAUCUUCUCUAAAUCCAUCAUCAGCUGCCAGUGAAGGUGUGUUUGGGUCCAUCUAAAACUCUGUGAAUCUGGAAUAUUCUUUAGUUCAAGUCCUGGAUCUGAAGCCUCUGAACCUUAAACCUGCUGCUGAGAUUAACGGAAGUGACGUCUUUAAAAAACUAAAUGACUCCAUUUAUCAGAGCCACAAACUGUAAAAAACAAAAAGAAGCUUCAGAUGUUCAACUCUGUGACUCGUGGUGUGUAGUUCUGUCCAGAAAUGAACCAAAUCUAGACUUAAAAUCACACAACAAUUCAUCAUAAUCAUUUUAUUCUACGCGUCUAAUUUGAAAAUUCACUAAAAAUAAACUGUUUGCACCAGAUUCUGUAAAAAAACUAAAAAUUCUGGUCUCCUCAGUGCAACAGAGAAACCUCGACUGACUCAGCUGAGACCAUCAGUCAGGAGAGAAAAAUUCUGGGUUUUCAGGUGAACUGCAGGCAGUGUUUCCACUGAGAGGAAAAUCAAAGCUUCUGGAUGAAUCAAAUAAAUGCAGCAUGGCUCAGAAACAGAGAACAGAGGAGCAGGUUGUUGGAGAUCCAUCCAGCAUGGUGAAACAUCUUUCUACAGCUGAUGAACAGAGUAGAGAGGAAACGUCUGGAGAGGCUGGAAAAAUGGAAAAAGUUUAACAUCUACAGUGUGUGAAGCCUCCAUUUAGUCCCAGAGUUGUUAACACCUGCUGACACUUGGAAAAACAUGAGACAUGCCUCCCAGAGAAGGAAGUGGUCUGAGACUCACUCCAGGACCUGGACUUUGUGCAGAUGUGUGAUGAGGACCAGCAGCAGCUGGUCUCUGAGCUGACAGUGACUGAGGUCCAGCUCAGUCAGUCCUUCACAGGAGUCCAGCAUCUGGACCAGACCUCCACAGACCCUCUGGUCCAGUGUGGUGUGACUGAGACGGACCCUGUCCAGGACAGGAAACAGCAGGUCCAGUCCUCCGUCCUCCACCUCACAGUCCUGCAGGUGGAGCUGAGUGUCCCGGCUGCAGUGUUUCAGGAUGAUGGAUGCAGCCCUGCAGUCAUCAGCAGUCAGACUCAGAGGCUCGGUCUGAUCCUCCUCUUGUAGAUCCACAAAGGACUGGCAGGACAGAUCCAAGCGGUGCUGCAGAGUCCUCAGCAGGCCGGAUGCUGCCUCCUGCUGGACGUCAGAGGCAGCACAGCAGUGGAUGAACCUCAGCAGCUGAUUCCUGUCCACACUGAAGAACAGUUGAUGCAGAAAGAAAGCAAAGAAACAGUUAAUGCACAGAAAAUGAUUCAGUUUACCAACAGGAUCUUUGAAUACACACAUCUUCUAAAGAGAAGAAAACACACAGAAACAGAAAUAUAAAGAUUAAUUAUCCAAGGUUGUUUAAAUCAAUCCAACUGGACUUUAAGAAAGUUCCUUGAAGAUGUUUCACCUCUCAUCCAAGAGGCUUCUUCAGUUCUGGUGGUGGUUGAUGUUGCCUCAGCUUAUAACCUCUGUGAGGUGUGGUCAGUGUUAUACACACAUCUGAGUGUGUUAUUUGGCUUAACACCAGAUCCCUGUCUUUUUUAAGCCAAAUAACACACUCAGACAAAGACUGGUCCACCCAAAAGACCCCACACCACACAGUCAGAAGAGCAACCUGG
Molecule: long non-coding RNA, 3511 nt
Organism: Amphiprion ocellaris (clown anemonefish)
Lineage: Eukaryota; Metazoa; Chordata; Actinopteri; Pomacentridae
Source: Ensembl